UACGGAGGAUCCGAGCGUUAUCCGGAUUUAUUGGGUUUAAAGGGAGCGUAGGCGGGUUGUUUAGUCAGUUGUGAAAGUUUGCGGCUCAACCGUAAAAUUGCAGUUGAUACUGGCAUCCUUGAGUACAGUAGAGGUAGGCGGAAUUCGUGGUGUAGCGGUGAAAUGCUUAGAUAUCACGAAGAACUCCGAUUGCGAAGGCAGCCUGCUGGACUGUAACUGACGCUGAUGCUCGAAAGUGUGGGUAUCAAACAGG
RNAcentral lists this ribosomal RNA (253 nucleotides) under uncultured bacterium. RNAcentral's name for it is "partial 16S ribosomal RNA". It matches the Rfam family "Bacterial small subunit ribosomal RNA", at positions 524 to 776 of the family's 1533-position model. The record is from RNAcentral.